CCUACGGGUGGCAGCAGUGGGGAAUAUUGCACAAUGGGGGAAACCCUGAUGCAGCGACGCCGCGUGAGUGAAGAAGGAUUUCGGUAUGUAAAGCUCUAUCAGCAGGGAAGAAAAUGACGGUACGUGAUUAAGAAGCACCGGCUCACUACGGGCCAGCAGCCGCGGGAAAACGUGGGGGGCCGGGGUUAUCCGGAUUUACUGGGGGUAAAGGGGGCGUAGACGGCGGCACAAGUCUGGAGUGAAAUGCCGGGGUUUAACCCAGGGACUGCUUUGGAAACUGUACAGCUAGAGUGGAGGAGAGGUAAGUGGAAUUCCUAGUGUAGCGGUGAAAUGCGUAGAUAUUAGGAAGAACACCAGUGGCGAAGGCGGCUUACUGGACUGUAACUGACGUUGAAGCUCGAAAGCGUGGGGAGCAAACAGGAUUAGAUACCCCAGUAGUC
This 440-nucleotide ribosomal RNA is filed under the name uncultured bacterium. RNAcentral's name for it is "partial 16S ribosomal RNA". It matches the Rfam family "Bacterial small subunit ribosomal RNA", at positions 338 to 795 of the family's 1533-position model. The record is from RNAcentral.